CAUCCCUCCUUUCCUGUUUGCACUUAUCGCUUGCCAACUCUUGCUAACCACCCAUUCCCGUCAUCUCUUCAGACUGGCAAUCUCCUCCUUUGUUUUUCAUUUGUGGGGACAGUUCAGUGAUGGGACUCUGGAUGGCUGUGGACCAGGUUGUCAAGGGUGCCACUGAACCAGUAAACAGUGGAGGUGUGCUGCAGUAAAGAGGGCCCAGGUGCACAACUUAGCAAAUAAGAGACAGUGGUUCAGCCUCGUCAAGUGGAUAGUGCUUCAAAUGUGAAUGAUGUGUAUGUCUUCACUCCUGUAUCCUAAAGGAUUAACUGAGAAUCUGUUACCAAAUGAGCCAUAUUUGGGACACGAGAGACCACAGAUGCUGGAGCCUGGAAGAAAAAUCAAGCUGCAGAAAGAGCUUAACAAGUUAGGCAGCAACUGUGGAGGGAAAUGGACAGUUGCCCUCAACAGAUGCUGACUGAUCUACUGAAUUCCUCCAGUAGCAUUUUAUGAGCCACAUCUGAGGUUAGAGGAGAAAUGUUGAUCAGGAAUUCUUUUGGACUAAUCAAACGUAGAAAUGCUGAUGUACUGCAGUGGAAGUAAUACUGUGAAUGUCUGGUUAGAAAAGGUGGGGUGGUGUGGUGUUAAGAAUGGGAAUGUUAUGGUGCAGCUACGUAUUUCAUACAGAACCAAAAUACUGUGGAUGCUGGCAACUGUGCAUGCUGAAAACUCAGCUGGUGAAAUUUCCAGCUUUGGAAUAGAAGAGACAGACAUAAGAGUUCACUCAGCUUUCAUCAGAACCUAUAAAAUGUACAGAUACACAAUGUUGUGUACGUAAUAUUCCGUAAUGUUAUAAAUUUAUUUUUGUUUAAGCAUUCUUUGUUUACACAAUUCAUAAAGGGUUAUAAAUAUGAAGUACAUGAAUGGCAUGCAUCAUUAUUGCACCACAUUCUACGUAUGUUUCUUGUUAAAGUAAA
This is a long non-coding RNA of Mobula hypostoma (lesser devil ray), 962 nucleotides long. RefSeq lists it as uncharacterized. The transcript is spliced from 3 exons. Lineage: Eukaryota; Metazoa; Chordata; Chondrichthyes; Myliobatiformes; Myliobatidae. The record is from RefSeq and is a predicted model, not a curated record.